CUCAGAUCGAAGCGCCUUCCAGGAUCCAUAGAACAAAAAGUGCCUGAACGGACAAGGCCUCUGGAAUAUUGCAGGUGGGGAUGCCAGAAGUCCUACAAGUGGAGUUCUGAGGCAUUAGCUGGAUGCUCAGCAAAAAGCUUGUGAGAGACAACUACACCCCGGGCACUCAUUAAAACCCAAGCCAAAUGCAAAGGAAUUGGCAGAAAACUGUGGAUCUUCAGGAGAGUAAGACCUGGACUUUGCUGAAACUUCUGAGCUCUGCUUCAGUCUCCUAGGCGCAAAGACCUGGUCUCUAUGAAGCUCAGUGUCUGUGAGACGCUACCAUCAUGGCAGCCCCCGUUCAUGUUUCUCUUGCUGACCUAUCCUGUGCAGGGGAAGCCAAGUCUGCUAACGGGGUGGUGCCGUGCGGACACUCAAUGUUGCAGUUAAACCACAUCCCUUAAGAAGGAAACCUAAGGUGGCUGCUCAUUUGAGGUUCUCCAGUGGCCACACCAAUGAUAUGAGUGUGAGUCCACAUGCAGGACGAUUUAACGGCUGUGCAGUCAUGCUCAAAAGCCCCACACCAGCCUCCUCUGCAACAACAACUGCAACAACAACAGAGAUAUGACAGCCUCCCUCUCUCAUUGCUAAGGAAGGACUUCAAAGCACACUGAGUAAUUUGCAUUUCUUAUCCCAGGACAGAGAGAAUUAUAAUAAAGCAUUCGUUGGCUUUUUCUCUUCAGG
This is a long non-coding RNA of Pan paniscus (pygmy chimpanzee), 723 nucleotides long. The record is from Ensembl. NCBI's taxonomy places the organism in Eukaryota, Metazoa, Chordata, Mammalia, Primates, Hominidae.